ACACUGGAAGCCUCUCUGUGGCUGAUGGGAGGACCAGGGCUGAUGAAAGGAUGGAGCCAUGAAGGGCAGCCCUCCUGCUGCGGGUCGCCCUGCUGCUGCCCUGGGCCUGCAGCUCCUGGCACGUGGGUCUCUGGGACUCCUUGUGGAUGUGCCUCUCCAGGGCCCUCCAUCCUCGGUGGGCAGGAGACUCCCCUAGGGAGCUUGCUCUCAAGUAAAUUCAUGGCCAUCGGACGAUA
Molecule: long non-coding RNA, 236 nt
Filed under: Homo sapiens (human)
Lineage: Eukaryota; Metazoa; Chordata; Mammalia; Primates; Hominidae
Description: non-protein coding lnc-PRSS51-3:2
Source: RNAcentral